RNAcentral lists this unclassified non-coding RNA (624 nucleotides) under Bartonella henselae. RNAcentral describes it as "partial 16S-23S ribosomal RNA intergenic spacer". The stretch from base 138 to 211 matches the Rfam family "tRNA". The record is from RNAcentral. Lineage: Bacteria; Pseudomonadati; Pseudomonadota; Alphaproteobacteria; Hyphomicrobiales; Bartonellaceae.
UCUUCAGAUGAUGAUCCCAAGCCUUCUGGCGAUCUAGACAAAACAAGUCCACCGUGGGCUUUGAAAAACGCUUUCCUUGAUAAAAUUUAAGCGUUUUAUAAGAGGAUGCCGGGGAAGGUUUUCCGGUUUAUCCCGGAGGGCUUGUAGCUCAGUUGGUUAGAGCGCGCGCUUGAUAAGCGUGAGGUCGGAGGUUCAAGUCCUCCCAGGCCCACCAGUUUAUCCAUUACUUUCAUAAGUGCUUUUAAAAAAUAAGUACUUCUAAAAAGAUUGCUUCUAAAAAGAUUGCUUCUAAAAAGAUUGCUUCUAAAAAGCUUAUCAAAAUUGGCAGGCUUAUUGCUUUUGUGUGAGUAAUCCAAAGUUAAAGCAAAUUAAUGGCAAAAAAACAGUUCAAAUGCUAAAUACUAAGGAGUCAAAAUUCCUUGCAAAGUGAUUUUUACAGCGUCCAUUUGGUUGAUAUAAAUUCCAAAUGCUCAUAGACGUCAAUGCCUAUAUGAAACUAUCGGUUCAAUCAUAUCGCUUUGAGUUAUAUAGAUUUUGUAAUCCCUCUUUUGAUCGUUUUAAACGCUUUAUCCUGAUUUAGGGGCCGUAGCUCAGCUGGGAGAGCACCUGCUUUGCAAGCAGGGG